RNAcentral lists this unclassified non-coding RNA (306 nucleotides) under plant metagenome. RNAcentral describes it as "partial contains 5.8S ribosomal RNA, internal transcribed spacer 2, and large subunit ribosomal RNA". The stretch from base 1 to 105 matches the Rfam family "5.8S ribosomal RNA", at positions 50 to 154 of the family's 154-position model. The record is from RNAcentral.
GAAAUGCGAUAAGUAAUGUGAAUUGCAGAAUUCAGUGUAUCAUCGAAUCUUUGAACGCACAUUGCGCCCGCCAGUAUUCUGGCGGGCAUGCCUGUCCGAGCGUCAUUUCAACCAUCAAGCCCCCGGGCUUGUGUUGGGGACCUGCGGCUGCCCGCAGGCCCUGAAAACCAGUGGCGGGCUCGCUGUCACACCGAGCGUAGUAGCAAUCACCUCGCUCAGGGCGUGCUGCGGGUUCCGGCCGUUAAACAGCCUUACAAAACCCAAGGUUGACCUCGGAUCAGGUAGGAAGACCCGCUGAACUUAAGC